This 253-nucleotide ribosomal RNA is filed under the name uncultured bacterium. RNAcentral's name for it is "partial 16S ribosomal RNA". It matches the Rfam family "Bacterial small subunit ribosomal RNA", at positions 524 to 776 of the family's 1533-position model. The record is from RNAcentral.
UACGUAGGGAGCAAGCGUUGUUCGGAUUUACUGGGCGUAAAGGGCGCGUAGGCGGCAAUUCAAGUCAGUUGUGAAAUCUCCGAGCUUAACUCGGAACGGUCAACUGAUACUGCUUUGCUAGAGUACAGAAGGGGCAAUCGGAAUUCUUGGUGUAGCGGUGAAAUGCGUAGAUAUCAAGAGGAACACCUGAGGUGAAGACGGGUUGCUGGGCUGAUACUGACGCUGAGGCGCGAAAGCUAGGGUAGCAAACGGG